AUGGAAAAAACUAAAAAGUUAGUUGACCUUUUUAAUAAUGUUCAAAAAUUCGUUGCAAAAUGUAAAGAUAAUAAUAAAAAACUACUAGCGUUAAAUAACUUAGAUGAAACUGAAACAUUAUAUCCUUUAAGACGUAUGAAAAAUUAUACACCAAAUGACAUUAGAGCUUACAAAAAUAGUUCAACUGGGUUUAUGUCCAAAGAUUCUUGUGAAAUAAAAAGUGAUAAUAUAAACAAGAAUUCUAUUAAUUUAGAAAGCAUUGAAUAUGAAAAAGCCUAUACAAAUGAUAACUUUCAUACAUUAUCUGACUAUUUUGAUAAACAGGAUAAUAAAAGAUUUAAUGAGUUAAAAUAUCAUGGGGGUGACGAUGAAAAUGGUUAUGGUACUGAUGGUUUUGAUAUGAAUUUUCAAAUGUUAGAUAAUAAAAACAGCGUUAACAAUAUUACAGAAUCUUUUAAAGCAAUGUCAAAAGAACAACAGAAAAAAAAAAAUGUAAAAAAUGAACUUAUGUUAUAUGAUUUACAUUUGACUACUUUAUAUCAAAAAUUGGAAAUCAGUUCAAAAAAAAGUAAAAAGAUAACUAAGAAAAAAUUAAAGGGUAAAAAAAAAGAGAAAUUGGAUAAAACAACAUUUAAUUCUUUAAAAUUAAAUGCUUCAAAAUCUUAUAAAACAUCAGGUGAACUAUACUUAAAAAAGACAACUUAUAAAAAAAGUAAAAAUCUGAAAUUAAAAAAUAGAGAUAAAAAAAAAGACAACAAGGGGAAGAACAGUUUAUUGAAUAAUUCUACAACACAUUCUAAAAGUUCUUUAUUAACACAUAGUGAAACUAUUUCAAAAUAUUUUAGGAUGUAUUCAUCAAAAAAUACAUCUGAAAUGAAACUGUUUCAAUCCAAAUUUCCUAAAAGAUUAGCUAAAAAAGAGGACACCCAUCCGUAUAAUAUUGGAUGUAUGUAUAUGAAUAGUAAUAUAGAAACGAAUUCAAAAGAAUUAUUAGAUAAAGAAUCACUUGAUAAUGAAUUAUUGAAUAGUUCCCAAAGUAUUGUACAUUUAAAAGAUUUAAAUGAUAAUAUUAACGAUAUUGAUUAUUAUAAAAAAUUAAUUGAUAAUUUAGAAGGAAAUAUUGCAGAAGCAAAAAAAAAAAAAAGUAUAACUUCUAUGGAUAAUAUUUUACAAAUUAUAAAUUAUUUGAUGCAUUAUUAUAUACCAAAAAUAAUUAAUAUAUAUGAAUAUUACAUGAAUAAUUUAGAUGAAAAAAACAAAAUAUUGAAACAAAAAAUUAAAGAAUCUUUAGAUUUUGGAGAUGUUCAAUAUGAAGAAAUAAGAGAAAUGAAGACUCAAAUGAUUCAAAAAAAUAAUGAGAUUAAAAAAUUACAUGACACGAUUACAAUAUUAAAAGAUAAAUUAUCAUCUACAAAUGAACUUGAAUUAAAAAAUUUCGAAUAUUUAGAUGAAAUUGUGCUUUUAAGAAAUAGAGUAGAAUAUUUAGAAAAACUUUUAACAGAAAAUAAUAAAACUAAAGAAUCACGUGAACUUACAAUUGUCCGUCGUAAUAUGUAUAAAUCACUUGUUAAAAUGAAAGGAGAAAUGAAAUUUAUAAAUGCAUUAAAACGGAAGUAUAUAAAAAGAUUUAAAAAAAGAAAAUUUAAUACAACUAAGUGGUUAGAUUUAAAGCGUAAAAUGGAAUCAAGUGAAACAUUAACGAUGGGAGAUAAUAUGUAUAAUAAUGAUUAUUUAUCACGUGGAUUUAAUACUAUGAAAUAUAAUAAUUUUCACGAAACGAAUAUUUUAUCAAGAGGAAGUAUAAAAAUAGUUAAGGAAUGUGUAGACAAAUGUGUUGAUACUAGUGAUAUAUAUAUUAUGAACGAUAAUGAUGAGUCAUAUAAUGACACAAAAAAAGGAAAUGAAGUAGAUUUAAAAGAAAAUGAAAAAAAAAAAAUUGAGACAAAAAAUAAAAAAGUUAAUACAAUAUUAAGCAAUCAUACAUUUUUAAAAUUAUUAGAAAAAGACAAAACAAAAAGUGUUGAAAAAGAAAAGGUAUGUAGUUUAAUACCUAAAGAAAGU
Piliocolobus tephrosceles (Ugandan red Colobus) is the source of this 2061-nucleotide long non-coding RNA. The record is from Ensembl. Lineage: Eukaryota; Metazoa; Chordata; Mammalia; Primates; Cercopithecidae.